CAAUGACAGUUGAAGCUGCCAGCAUGAUCUGUGCUUUCCUUCCUGUGUAUAUACUUUAAUUUCCAGCUGAAUUUAAAUAUAACCAAAAAAAUAAAUAUGUUUGGUCUAAAUUUUGAUCAAACUUAUAUAUAUUUUUGCUUAUGUUUAAGUCUGGGGUGAGUUUAUUUGUGGUAAGAACAGAUCAUGUUGGAGCUUCACCUGUUAAAU
RNAcentral lists this microRNA precursor (207 nucleotides) under Medicago truncatula (barrel medic). RNAcentral describes it as "miR167b stem-loop (mtr-MIR167b)". Its record names the gene mtr-MIR167b. The record is from miRBase by way of RNAcentral. Lineage: Eukaryota; Viridiplantae; Streptophyta; Magnoliopsida; Fabales; Fabaceae.